UGGGGAAUAUUGCACAAUGGGCGCAAGCCUGAUGCAGCCAUGCCGCGUGUGUGAAGAAGGCCUUCGGGUUGUAAAGCACUUUCAGCGGGGAGGAAGGCGGUGAGGUUCAUAACCUCAUCGAUUGACGUUACCCGCAGAAGAAGCACCGGCUAACUCCGUGCCAGCAGCCGCGGUAAUACGGAGGGUGCAAGCGUUAACCGGAAUUACUGGGCGUAAAGCGCACGCAGGCGGUCUGUCAAGUCGUAUGUGAAAUCCCCGGGCUCAACCUAGGAACUGCAUUCGAAACUGGCAGGCUAGAGUCUUGUAGAGGGGGGUAGAAUUCCAGGUGUAGCGGUGAGAUGCGUAGAGAUCUGGAGGAAUACCGGUGGCGAAGGCGGCCCCCUGGACAAAGACUGACGCUCAGGUGCGAAAGCGUGAGGAGCAAACAGG
Molecule: ribosomal RNA, 429 nt
Filed under: Chloroflexota bacterium
Lineage: Bacteria; Bacillati; Chloroflexota
Description: Chloroflexi bacterium partial 16S ribosomal RNA
Rfam family: Bacterial small subunit ribosomal RNA
Source: RNAcentral